Molecule: small nucleolar RNA, 136 nt
Organism: Athene cunicularia (burrowing owl)
Lineage: Eukaryota; Metazoa; Chordata; Aves; Strigiformes; Strigidae
Product: small nucleolar RNA SNORA31
Source: Ensembl
AUGCAUCUGUUUGACAGACCUGGAGCAAACUGCCAUUGCUCUUCUGGUUCUUGCUGAGAUGCAACAGUAGCCAGUUCCUUGCGCUUUCUGUCUGUCCAACCUCAUGGCAGUUUGGAUUGAAUAAAGGAGCACAAAU